CUAGGUCACAGCCAUACAAAAGCAACUAUGAGGACCACAGGUGCCAGGAGACUCAUCCAGAAGUCCUGCAGGAGCCGCUCAGCUGAAGGUUGCCUUCCACAUGGAGCCACCUCUGCAAUUACCAAAGCUGGAUGGGGCUGGAGUACCCUUUCCCAGGAUGGCGCCUUACAUAGUUAUUUCCAGGGUAUCUGAGCCCUAGAAUCCAGGACACCCAUGGCCAGAACAUCAGUGCCUGAAUUUCCUCUGCAAACUGUUGGCCUCGAAACCCCAUCAGGGCUGAGGUCUCAUUCAUGCCCUUCGUGCCAUCCAGCUCUGUCUCGCUGAAGCCUGCAGGUCCCUGUGCUCUGGGGACACAUGUGCCUCUGCUUGAAGAGGAUGCGUCAUGGAGAUGCAUGUCAGCAAGGCUGGCAGCUCCUCAUCCAACUGCGAACAGCUCUGUGAGAACAGCCUUCACGACCACACCUGCCUAGAGAGCACUCCCUGUCGCCAGCACUUUCAGAUGGUCGUGUGCCGGUGAGCUUGUUAAAGGUUCUGAAGAGUCCUGCACCAACCCCAGACUGGCUCAAACCACUCUAGUUUGCUCUUCUGUUGUGACAAAUACCUUAACCAAAAGCAGCUUGGGGUAGGAACGGGAACCGCUUUCAGGUCACGGUUCCUCACUGAGGGAGAAGUCAGGGCAGGAACUCAAGCUGGAAGCAAAGCAGAAACAGCAGAGGGACGCUGCUUCCAGGCCUGUUCCUUCUGUCCCAAGACACAUUUUGGAAAGUGUUCUCAAUCAACUGCCGCCUACAAAUGUCUGAUCCCACUGGAGGCAGAGCGGGCAUGGUGUGGCCAGUAUUGUCUGCCCAGGUUGUGGUGUCGCACCAAGGAUGGCAAAGUUUCUGUAGCACAGAUGGCAUCAGGCUACCCCCUGGGAGGGCAUGCCCUAGGGAUAGAUGGUACCAUUGUUGGUUAGCAAAUGACACCUUUUGAAGGUCAGGUUUGAAUGCCAGUCAGCCUAGCAGAGCUGGAGGAUUCCAGGCCAGCGAGAGACCCCACCUCAAAAAACACCGUUGACCUCUGCCCUUGGCGAGCCUAUACAUGGAGAGAACAGAUUCAAGGGGUAGACAGACACCAAAUAGAGUGGGAAAGGGAUGCAUUAAAGUGAUGUAGCAACUAUUCCCCCACAGUUAACUCACACCCAAGCCCCUCAGCUCAUCUGUGGAUUUAGGGGAGCCUCUCUCCUUUGAACCCCUCUCUGGACCUCCAGAAAGAAGCAGAGCCUAAGGAGGGACGACCUCUAAGACACUGAGGAGAAAGACGACAGAAAAACCGUUGUCCCGGAGCAAAAACCUGCUUGAGAAUACCCACAAGGCCCUGCGUCUCAGGCACGGAACUAUUAGAAUCGUCAAGCGUCUCCUGAGAUUUUAAAGCGCUUUAAAAACAGGGGAGAAAAGCGAAGGAAGGAGGCGCACAGUUCGCGGGAACGAACUAGCAGGGGCUGAACUCCGUCCCUCUGGUCCGUCCACCAUCCCUUCUUUCCCCUGGGCCCUCGCUCUUUUCUUUUCCAAAACCGACUGACAAAGCCAGUUAAGCUGUGCUUUGGAGCGGAUCAAGGUCACCUGCCUUCCCAGGCCUCAGGUCCCCGGUGAGGCGGGUGCCCCGUCCUCCAGGUCCCCGGAGGCCCACAACACUCAGGCCUCGCGCCCGCCAAUUAGGCCCUUAUUUGAUUUCUGCUCUAUCCCUGCGAACCCCAUUAAACCCAAUUCCGCUCAUUACUGCGACUUCCCUGCUCUCAGCGCGGUUCCCCCACUCCCGGCC
Psammomys obesus (fat sand rat) is the source of this 1800-nucleotide long non-coding RNA. RefSeq lists it as uncharacterized. The transcript is spliced from 4 exons. The record is from RefSeq and is a predicted model, not a curated record. NCBI's taxonomy places the organism in Eukaryota, Metazoa, Chordata, Mammalia, Rodentia, Muridae.